This 388-nucleotide long non-coding RNA is filed under the name Homo sapiens (human). RNAcentral's name for it is "non-protein coding lnc-KIAA1210-3:1". Lineage: Eukaryota; Metazoa; Chordata; Mammalia; Primates; Hominidae. The record is from RNAcentral.
AAACAUGGAGACUGUUCAGUCACCAGGAGCACAAAGUUAUUAUCGUGGGACUGGAUAACGCAGGGAAAACUAUCAUUCUUUUCAAAUUUUCUGUGAGUGAAGUUGUACAUAACUCCCGUACAACAGGAAGUAAUGUAAAGGAGACAGUGAUUAAUAAUACACGUUUCUUACUGUGGAAUAUUGGUGGUCAAGAGUCUCUUCUUUCUUUCUGGAAUGUUUACUAUACUAACACGGAGUUUGUAAUAGUUGUGUGGACGGUACAGACAGGAUUUCUGUAACUAGAGAAGAACACUGUAAAAUGUUAGCACAUGAGGACUUAAGAAAAACUGGAUUGCUGAUUUUUGCUAAUUAACAAGAUGUUAAAGAAUGCAUGACUGUAGCGGAAAUC